This 473-nucleotide ribosomal RNA is filed under the name uncultured Salinibacterium sp. RNAcentral's name for it is "bacterial SSU rRNA". It matches the Rfam family "Bacterial small subunit ribosomal RNA", at positions 91 to 578 of the family's 1533-position model. The record is from RNAcentral. Lineage: Bacteria; Bacillati; Actinomycetota; Actinomycetes; Micrococcales; Microbacteriaceae.
AUCAGUGGCGAACGGGUGAGUAACACGUGAGUAACCUGCCCCAGACUCUGGGAUAAGCACUGGAAACGGUGUCUAAUACCGGAUACGAGCUUCAGCCGCAUGGCUAGGAGUUGGAAAGAAUUUCGGUCUGGGAUGGACUCGCGGCCUAUCAGCUAGUUGGUGAGGUAAUGGCUCACCAAGGCGACGACGGGUAGCCGGCCUGAGAGGGUGACCGGCCACACUGGGACUGAGACACGGCCCAGACUCCUACGGGAGGCAGCAGUGGGGAAUAUUGCACAAUGGGCGCAAGCCUGAUGCAGCAACGCCGCGUGAGGGACGACGGCCUUCGGGUUGUAAACCUCUUUUAGUAGGGAAGAAGCGAAAGUGACGGUACCUGCAGAAAAAGCACCGGCUAACUACGUGCCAGCAGCCGCGGUAAUACGUAGGGUGCAAGCGUUAAUCGGAAUUACUGGGCGUAAAGCGUGCGCAGGCGG